AAGGCCUUCGGGUUGUAAAGCACUUUUGUCCGGAAAGAAAUCCUUGGNUCUAAUACAGUCGGGGGAUGACGGUACCGGAAGAAUAAGCACCGGCUAACUACGUGCCAGCAGCCGCGGUAAUACGUAGGGUGCGAGCGUUAAUCGGAAUUACUGGGCGUAAAGCGUGCGCAGGCGGUUUGCUAAGACCGAUGUGAAAUCCCCGGGCUCAACCUGGGAACUGCAUUGGUGACUGGCAGGCUAGAGUAUGGCANAGGGGGGUAGAAUUCCACGUGUAGCANUGAAAUGCGUANAGAUGUGGAGGAAUACCGAUGGCGAAGGCAGCCCCCUGGGCCAAUACUGACGCUCAUGCACGAAAGCGUGGGGAGCAAACAGGAUUAGAUACCCUGGUAGUCCACGCCCUAAACGAUGUCAACUAGUUGUUGGGGAUUCAUUUCCUUAGUAACGUAGCUAACGCGUGAAGUUGACCGCCUGGGGAGUACGGUCGCAAGAUUAAAACU
This 497-nucleotide ribosomal RNA is filed under the name uncultured bacterium. RNAcentral describes it as "bacterial SSU rRNA". It matches the Rfam family "Bacterial small subunit ribosomal RNA", at positions 411 to 901 of the family's 1533-position model. The record is from RNAcentral.